GCCUACAGCCAUACCACCCUGAGAUCUCGUCUGAUCUCGGAAGCUAAGCAGGGUUGGGCUCUGUUAGUACUUGGAUAGGAGACCGCCUGGGAAUACCGGGUGCUGUAGGCU
This 111-nucleotide ribosomal RNA is filed under the name Aquila chrysaetos chrysaetos. Lineage: Eukaryota; Metazoa; Chordata; Aves; Accipitriformes; Accipitridae. The record is from RNAcentral.